RNAcentral lists this transfer RNA (72 nucleotides) under Camelus bactrianus (Bactrian camel). It matches the Rfam family "tRNA". Rfam says of the family: Transfer RNA (tRNA) molecules are approximately 80 nucleotides in length. Their secondary structure includes four short double-helical elements and three loops (D, anti-codon, and T loops). Further hydrogen bonds mediate the characteristic L-shaped molecular structure. tRNAs have two regions of fundamental functional importance: the anti-codon, which is responsible for specific mRNA codon recognition, and the 3' end, to which the tRNAs corresponding amino acid is attached (by aminoacyl-tRNA synthetases). tRNAs cope with the degeneracy of the genetic code in two manners: having more than one tRNA (with a specific anti-codon) for a particular amino acid; and 'wobble' base-pairing, i.e. permitting non-standard base-pairing at the 3rd anti-codon position. The record is from Rfam by way of RNAcentral. Lineage: Eukaryota; Metazoa; Chordata; Mammalia; Artiodactyla; Camelidae. RNAcentral also lists the same sequence under 2 other names.
GAAGGUAUAGCUCAGUGGUAGAGCGCAUGCUUUGCAUGCAUGAGGUCCUGGGUUCAAUCCCCAGUACCUCCA